This 428-nucleotide ribosomal RNA is filed under the name uncultured bacterium. Its description in RNAcentral is "bacterial SSU rRNA". It matches the Rfam family "Bacterial small subunit ribosomal RNA", at positions 94 to 541 of the family's 1533-position model. The record is from RNAcentral.
AGUGGCGAACGGGUGAGUAACACGUAGGUGACCUGCCCCGGAGAGGGGGACAACCAUUGGAAACGAUGGCUAAUACCCCAGAUGUCAAUCUAUUUGGAAAGGAUUGACUAAAGUUCCGGCGCUCCGGGAGGGGCCUGCGGCCCAUCGGCUAGUUGGUAGGGUAACGGCCUACCAAGGCGAAGACGGGUAGGGGGCGUGAGAGCGUGACCCCCCACACUGGUACUGAGACACGGACCAGAUACCUGCGGGUAGCAGCAGCAAGGAAUAUUGCCCAAUGGACGCAAGUCUGAGGCAGCAACACCGCGUGGAGGACGAAGGCUUUCGAGUUGUAAACUCCUUUUCUGGGGGAAGAGAAAGGACGGUACCCCAGGAAUAAGUCUCGGCUAACUACGUGCCAGCAGCCGCGGUAAAACGUAGGAGGCGAGCGU